This 450-nucleotide ribosomal RNA is filed under the name uncultured bacterium. RNAcentral describes it as "partial 16S ribosomal RNA". It matches the Rfam family "Bacterial small subunit ribosomal RNA", at positions 328 to 797 of the family's 1533-position model. The record is from RNAcentral.
UGCCCAGACUCCUACGGGAGGCAGCAGUGGGGGAUAUUGCACAAUGGGGGGAACCCUGAUGCAGCGACGCCGCGUGGGUGAAGGAGCGUUUCGGCGCGUAAAGCCCUAUCGGCAGGGAAGAAGGAGGACGGUACCUGACUAAGAAGCCCCGGCUAACUACGUGCCAGCAGCCGCGGUAAUACGUAGGGGGCAAGCGUUAUCCGGAUUUACUGGGUGUAAAGGGAGCGUAGGUGGCAGGGCAAGUCAGAUGUGAAAACCCGGGGCUCAACCCCGGGAGUGCAUUUGAAACUGUCCAGCUGGAGUGCAGGAGAGGUAAGCGGAAUUCCUAGUGUAGCGGUGAAAUGCAUAGAUAUUAGGAGGAACACCAGUGGCGAAGGCGGCUUACUGGACUGUAACUGACACUGAGGCUCGAAAGCGUGGGGAGCAAACAGGAUUAGAUACCCGCGUACA